This 324-nucleotide ribosomal RNA is filed under the name uncultured bacterium. Its description in RNAcentral is "bacterial SSU rRNA". It matches the Rfam family "Bacterial small subunit ribosomal RNA", at positions 184 to 507 of the family's 1533-position model. The record is from RNAcentral.
UCCCNCAUGGGAAUAUUUGUUAAAGAUUCAUCGCUGAUAGAUAGGCAUGCGUUCCAUUAGGCAGUUGGCGGGGUAACGGCCCACCAAACCGACGAUGGAUAGGGGUUCUGAGAGGAAGGUCCCCCACAUUGGUACUGAGACACGGACCAAACUCCUACGGGAGGCAGCAGUGAGGAAUAUUGGUCAAUGGCCGAGAGGCUGAACCAGCCAAGUCGCGUGAAGGAAGAAGGAUCUAUUGGUUUGUAAACUUCUUUAUAGGGGAAUAAAGUGGAGGACGUGUCCUUUUUGUAUGUACCCUAUGAAUAAGCAUCGGCUAACUCCGUG